This is a long non-coding RNA of Poecilia latipinna (sailfin molly), 3866 nucleotides long. RefSeq lists it as uncharacterized. NCBI's taxonomy places the organism in Eukaryota, Metazoa, Chordata, Actinopteri, Cyprinodontiformes, Poeciliidae. The record is from RefSeq and is a predicted model, not a curated record. The transcript has 2 exons.
ACAUGCAAACAAAAGCUCAAGAUUUAAUAACUCAACUUUAUUAUGCAGACACCAGAAAAUGUUUACACAUCCACUAAUUGUAGAGCAGAGAAACACAAGAAAUGGAAUCCAAAGAAGUGGCCAACAUGUCAGGAGUCAGCAGGACAGCGGCCCUGUAGCGUCUCUAUAGCUGUUUAGUUUCUCAUAAUCAGUUAUAACAUUACAGAAUCCCCUGACUGUACAAGCAAACUGUACUUUACUGAUCUCUUGUAAAGUACAGUGGCAAAUAAUGAACUUUAUAGGUCUAACUAAGGUGUGAGUGUUCCCAGGAUCGAGCAAAAACUAGAUUUAUGAUGUUGUGAAUCGAAACCCCCCCCCCCCCCCAAAAAAAAAAAAAAAAAAACUAUUACUAUUUUUAUGUGGAACAUUAUAAAUUUAAUUUGGCAAGCAACUGCUCCUGUUACUGGCUUUAAGAAAGAUAUUAAGAAAUGCACUGAAUGUCUACAAACCUAGUGCCUUACACCAAAUGCAGGCACGUGCAGAAUGGGGUGGGGGGCUGCCGGAGGGAAAUGGUGGGAAAAACCCGUCUUCUCCUUCAAACACAGAAAUGCUUCGGCUCCAGAGAAAACUUCUGACUUUAACUUUACCAGGCGGCCCGUGCUGGACUAGAUGCAGCCAGAGUUGGCCCCACCGCUGUGGAUCAGAACCAGAUAAACGGUACCACGACACACCUCAAAGCCCCAGUACCACCUGCUGACUGUUCGCUUUCUGCUGCACCUUAACAUAACGUGACAACCAGGCGGUUCACACUGCUGCUGACAAAUUGGAUAAAAUUCACCCCAUAAAGCCUGAACAAACAAAAUGGCCUCUGUUCUUCCUACUAAGAAAGUCAACAUCACUGUUUAAAUAUUGAUUUAGUGAAGUCUGCGAGAAGGGGGCCAGGGUAAUUGGCUGAGCUUAAAAUCAUGUGAUGUAUUUCUGAACAAACCCAGCUCAAACACAAAGAUUACAGAUAGCAUCAGAUUGUAGUCAUGGUAACAUAAUCAAACUAUCAAGAAGAUUCUUUGCACUUUUACAAAGUAAACUUCCUAAUUAAAUUCUAAAUGUGCAAUUAUUUUUUAAUCUCUGUUGAAGCCAUUAAAUAAAAUUGAAUACAUUGUCAUACUCAAUAAACAAACGGUAAAGAUUUAGAUAUAUGGUUUGUGUUACAAUACAAGCAUUUAUAGGGCCCUAGACCUUUAAGAUUUUUUAGGCUGACCUAUGAAGACACUGUUACAGUAAUUGACUAAACUUAAAUACAUGGAUGUUUCUCAAGAUUCUGCUAAAUGCUAAAUCUAAAGACAAUAAUUUAUUUGUCAACCUUACAAAUCUGGAUCUUGCAGAAUUAUGUACAGUUAAUCCCUCUGAGCUUUUUCAGUGUCUGCAGCCAAGUUGCUAUGGAUGUUAAACAGCCAGAUAUGAUUAAGGUUUAUUUUGUAAAUGGUCUGUUUAAAAACUACAGUAUCAGAUCAACACAGCCCUCCAGCUCUGUCAGCAGCAGAAAAUUAUACCUAUUGGGGAAAACAUAGACUACAUUUGCUUUGCAUUGCUCCCGCAUGAUGACAAUGAUACAGUAUGAUCCGAUUAAAUAUUAGAUUUUACCCUAAUAUGGGUUGUUGUUAUGAUGUAUGAUGUUUUAAGAUCUUGUUCAAUGUGCCCUUUCUAUCUUUGAGCCCUUGGCCUUCCAAAGGUCUCUGCACGGCCCUGACCAAAUGAGUGACAGUCUGCAAUAUGUACAUUAUGCUAUACAGCAAAUACAACUUUCACUGGCCAUGCAAUGGUAAUUCAUUGUUUAUUAAUGUAUUAUAGGAAAUCAGAAUUAAAAGAUGCAUUCUUUUAUUUUAUUUCAUUUUAAUUUUUAUCCAAUUUUGAACAAAUCUUCAUAAAAUAUGGUUGCCAAAUAAAUUCACAUGCAUCCUGUAAGCUUUCAUCUGGUAACAGGAUGAAACUGACCCUUCCCUCACAUACAACUGCCUAACACAGCCCAGAUAUUUUUAUAAAGUGGGGUUUUGUUGAGAGGUUACACGGAGUCAACAUCUCACUUGAAGCAGAGAAUCCUCCUAAGGUCCAACAGCUAACCAUGCUAGAUCUAAACCAAAGCAGAUUUCUACGAUCCUAAAACUGUGACAAUGUUGUAGCAGUUCAUGCAAUGAAGUUUAAAAACAUCUUAACCACUGUCAGACUUGCAUUAAACCACUAAUAACCUCAGAGUUCAUUGUUUAGUAGAAAAAAGAAAACAUAAUCCAUAAUGACUUUACCAUGCAAAACAUGGACCGUGAAAUGGAUGCUACAACAAUGUAGUGUAAAUGUUUUACACUAGAAUUGGUUUAGGACAGUAGAAAUGGGCUUUCUUCUUGGCCCUACUCUGCUGUUAGCUUAUUAGUUAAAAGUAAUCUAGAUUUAUAUAAAAUAAAAAUACCAAAAGAGAAAUCCACAACUGUCAGGCACUGGUUGCUUAGAACCUUUUUUUUUUUGGCUUUUUACCUAAAAACAAAUUAGUGAAUUUUGUAUGUAUUUAUUUAUUGUCAAGCUAACAAAGAAGAUAAAUCUAAACUAAAUUGUCAGAAAGAGUUUAUGUGUUAGCAUUGUCACAUCUUAUGGACGAAAGUCAAGACUAGCUUAGUUUAUAUACAGCAUCAAAUAAACAGGUUCAUGAAUACACUGAAUAAUAAUAAUUAUAAAGAAAAAAUUGAAUUAAAGGCAAAAUGAAGACAACUUAAUGAGUGCAGAACACCAGAAUGAUAUUCGAUCUGUAACAUCUAUCAUUAGCUCAUGACGCUUUGGAGGAAGAAAACGAGCUGCUGACUCACUGAAGUUCCACCUGUCUCUAACGGACACACAUAAUAAUAGUAAUCAUGUGUGUUGUAACAAACAUAAUUAUAUUAUUUGGAGAAAAAACUUUCUGUACUUUGUCACUCAUAAAUGCCAUCAACUGCUAAGGCAAUCAUUUCAAAGUGCAAAACAUUCAACUGUAUUAAUAAGGUUGCAGCAAGAUCCUUAAGGGAAUAGAUUGGAUCUUCUGAAGUUUUUUUCUGAAACAUCUUCCAUCACCUGUAGUAGAAAGACGACAUAUUGUAGUCACUUUGUAUAGACUGCUGAUUGCAGCCAUUUAAAAUUACUGAAAAAUUGAAAAUGUUUCUGUCCAUGCAACUAUAAAGCAGCAGAUGUACACCAUGCACAUAUCUUUAAUAAGGGGCCAUUCAGUUUUUCAGUUGAACAAUGUUACAGCAGUCUGCAACAUUGACUGCUGUCAAUCUUACUGUGGGCCCUGUCCACAGUAACCCAAAUAUUUAGCAACGCAGAGCCUAAGUACUGCUUCAGCAAUGCUAGGAAUCUUUUUCCAUUUUUCUUGUUCUAUUUUAUGUAUAUACUGUAGACAUUACCACCACAUGCUGGUAAACCAAAGGGUUCACAGACUUUAUCAGAAUCUAACAGACCAUGUACCGUACAUUCAGCUUUCUUUAAAAAAAGAAAAGAUGGCAGUUAAACAUGUUGCAAAGGCUGUUGAUCUGGACCAAUACAGCCAGCAUGACUCAACAGAUGGAAAUGUUGCGUAGUAUCACAGGUAUCUUUUCACCUGACAAAACAAUGACAAACUCAUCAAUGGGCAAUUGUAGAACUGUGAAUCUACUACUACAGCGUUGUGUUUCAGUUCAUAUCCAAUUUGUGUUAAAUAUGUAACUUAGAGUGCUGUCGUCCAGAUGUGAGCCUUCCACCAUGCUAAGGUUGGCAAAUUACCCAGGCAGGAAGAGGCCAGAUUUGGAGAUGGGUGAGGUUUUACCACAUGUUCGGAUCAGAACAAAAGAUACGCUGGUCUCUGGGAUCAAACACAAACCGGGUGUGGUUUA